GUUUGCGGCUGUCACCGCGGCCUUUUCCUGUCACAGAGCUUGGCUUAGAAUGGCCUGGCUUGGAACGGAACUUAAAGAUCAUCCCGCUCCACCCCCUGCCAUGGGCAGGGUCGAGUACCACUAGAUAGGUUGCUCCAGGCCACGUCCAUCCUGGACAUGAACACUUCCAGGGAUAGGGCAGCCACAGUUUUCCUGGACAACCUGUGCCAGGGCCUCACAGGGAAGGAUUUCUUUCCAAUAUCCCCUCUAACCCUGCCUUCUGUCAGUGUGAAGCCAUUUCCCCUUGUCCUGUCACUCCAGGCCCCUAUAUAAGUAGUCUCCCAUCUUUCUUGCAGUCUCCCUUCAGACACUGGGCCACCCUGAAGCUCUUCUUUUCCAGGCUGAAAAUAUCCUAAUUCUCCUAGCUUCUCACAGCAGAAGUGCUCCCUCCCUCUAAUAACCUUGGUGGCCUCUUCUGGACUUGCUCCAACAGGUCCAUGUCCUUUCAGUGCUGAGGACCUCAGGGCUGGAUGCAGCAUUCCAGGUGGGAUCUCACCUGAGCAGGGCAGAGGGGAGGAAUCUGCCCCUCCCCUGCUCCCCAUUAUGUGGGGAUGAGCCCAAGGCACAGAUGGAUUCUUCCAAUACAAAGUUGUAGGUUGGGCUUCAUCACUGACAAGCCUUUUACAGCCCUUCCCUGGAGACUGAUUUUCCAGGAGAGAUGACUUUUUGCACCUCACUCCCAUCCCUGCUUGAAGAUCUCAACAGGUGAUCUCUCCAGGUGGUCUGGGAAGACAGUCCUGCUAUCAUUGCUGCAUCCAAGAGGGAUAAGGGGGAAAGAGCUGGCACCAGCAUGUCCUAAUUGCACAUUGGGAAAGCUGGAAUGCUCCGUGUUUACCGAGCUGUGCUGAAAAGCUGAGAACUUCAGCCUGGGACCGAAGCACUUUGCCAGCCCGAGGGCCCUUCCAGAGGAAUUCUUGAGGCUCUGCAACGCGCUGGGUAAAUGGAGAUGACAGAGGCGAGGCCACAGCAGUGCCUCCCCCUUACCUUACGUAAGGCUGCAGCUCCCUGCCAGCCCCUCGGGCCGGCGGCAGAGGAGAGCCCUUCAUGUGACCCUCAGCCAUCCCCACCAGCCCAAUAUUAAUGUGAGACAUAAAGCCUGCACGUUACAUAAGCCUCUCUCCUGGCCGAGUAUCUCCUACUGCAGCAACCGACGUUUAAUUUUAACUUGCCACUAAAAAAUAAAACACUCCGUGGGUAAGAGGAAGUGUAUGGGUGGAAACGGGGAACGGAGGUUAUUCGUGUCCCGACAGCAAUGUGCCAGAAAGAUCAGUGAUGUAUUUCUGUUUGAUUUACGUGGCCAGCUUAGUCUGACAGCAUCUGUGGCAGAGUGCUCCCAGACCCAUUCAACGCUUUGGCUAGAACAGCCACAAGGAGAAUUGCAAACGUCGUGAAAUGCUUUUUAAUUACACCAUUGCUGCCCAGUAAAAGACUGCAUUUUAAAGGUGUCCUAAAAACAGUAGUGUAAUUUUAAUUUACUUAGAAAUGCACUGACCUGGCAUUUUGACUUAGUGUGAAGGACAGAGAGUGGAAAAUGCAGUUUCAGCAUUUAAAAACGUGAGGGAAGCAGAUGACUGUCAGUGUGGCCACCUAAGGCCAUAGAGCUGAAACCCCUGACGUGCUGGAUGGAAAGUUAGUGUUGUGUGGGACUGUAGCCUGUUUCGAUGUGCUGAUUUUUCCUGAUCAAUCUGAAAGUCAACAGGUUUUUUUCUGGCCUGCCUGCAGCAGUGUGAGGUUUUUGGGAUGGCCGAAUCCCCUUGGGGCACAAGGAAAUCCCUGGAGCUCAUCCUGCCUGUCCUGCGCUGUUACCAGAAUCUGGCUUCUUACUGACCUAAACAGAGCCAGGUUUCUACAUGAAAAUUAUACUCUGGGAUUGCAAUUUCUACCAUAAAGAGCACUGGGAGGUGA
This is a long non-coding RNA of Taeniopygia guttata (zebra finch), 1944 nucleotides long. RefSeq lists it as uncharacterized. NCBI's taxonomy places the organism in Eukaryota, Metazoa, Chordata, Aves, Passeriformes, Estrildidae. The record is from RefSeq and is a predicted model, not a curated record.